Rhinopithecus bieti (black snub-nosed monkey) is the source of this 144-nucleotide non-coding RNA. NCBI's taxonomy places the organism in Eukaryota, Metazoa, Chordata, Mammalia, Primates, Cercopithecidae. The record is from Ensembl.
AGGCUUUGUCUCAAAAAGGACUUGCCUCAUUAGUUAUACAAACAAGCUAAUAGGGUAGUUUGGCAGGACACACAGCCAUCUCCCUUUCAGUUUAGGAAGGCCGGUCGUAAGAAUAGGACUAGCUCUGCAAGGCAAGAGGACAAU